RNAcentral lists this non-coding RNA (162 nucleotides) under human gut metagenome. Its description in RNAcentral is "Lysine riboswitch". It matches the Rfam family "Lysine riboswitch aptamer". Rfam says of the family: Riboswitches are metabolite binding domains within certain messenger RNAs that serve as precision sensors for their corresponding targets. Allosteric rearrangement of mRNA structure is mediated by ligand binding, and this results in modulation of gene expression. The record is from RNAcentral.
AAGAAAGAGGUUGCAACUUUUAAUAGUAUUAUUUUGUUAUCAGAUUAUUGCAAAAUAUGAAAGGAAAAGUUGCCGAAAUUAAGAAGAAUAUCUGGUUCUUUUUAGUUGGGCUAAUGCAAAAUAUGUAUUAGACUGUCACAGAAAAUCUGUGGAGUGCUUUCG